UCGCCCGGCUGCAUAUGUGCGCGCGCGUGCACGCAGGGGGACAACAUCCCAUUAAUCUCGGGUGCCACCCGAGGCGACCAUCCCGCAAACAAAAUGUCGGGGGUGGGGGGCGCGGUGAGCGCCGCAAAAAGAGUUAACCCUUGGCGGAUCUAGUCGGGGGCGUCCGUCCGUCAGCCUCGACCGCCUGCGCUGCAUGUCGUGUUGCGGUAUGCGCCCCAUCGGUGUUUUUGCAAAGGCAACCUCCGGCUGGCCUUUCGUAUUCAUUCGUAGUUUUCUUGUUGUGGAGAAAAUGAGGGGAGAUGCGGGACGAUGGAAGUGGAAGGCAAGCUUCGCUGCCGAGGUGGAGAGUACGGGCGAAAGGUCUGCGGAGCGACGAGAGAGAGAUGGCUGCGGGGAAAGUCAAGCAACCACGGGGUCUGAACAAGGGGGAGUUGAUGCUGCUGCAGCGUGAGCUGGAGGAGGCCGAGGAGGAUAUGAACGACGGGACGCCGCGGUGGACCUCCGUGUUGUACGAUGCGGCGCUGCCGCUCGCGAUGUACGCGGUGCUGCUCGCCGCCUUCGUGCUUCAGCCCCUGUGGGACGAGAUCUCCGGUUCCAAGUCCUAGCUCCGCUCUUCAAGAUCAGGAUGUCACCGCGGCCGGAGUCACCGAUGUCACCACCACGCCUCGCCAACGCCGUUCUAGCCCGCACCUCCUCGGGGCGAUUGGAGAAACCUGCCCCUCCCCCCCCCCCGUUGUUUCAACUCCCAAGUUGGGUGUAUGAAUUGGCGACCUCUGAAUUUCAAGUCCAAUUGCUAACCAUUACACCACGGCAACGUCCCAUCACUCGUGUGUCCUAUAUAAUACCCAAUGUCAUGAAAGCAUCGACAGAAGCAUGGAAAUUGGUGACUUUUCAGCCUGGAAGGAUGCAACUUGGCCCAUCUAAUUUAAUUCUACGGAUGUACCAGAUAUGCAAAAUAGGCAUUACAAAAAAAAUGGUCGACAUAGGACCCUCCACUUUGAAGGGCAUAAUUGAAAAAGCCUUUUUUGUAGUACAUGUAUCCGAGGAUUGUCUUUUUUUCGUGUUCUCUGUACAGAUAUUGGCUUGGCUCGAGGGAGGGAGGGAGG
Petromyzon marinus (sea lamprey) is the source of this 1106-nucleotide non-coding RNA. The record is from RefSeq and is a predicted model, not a curated record. Lineage: Eukaryota; Metazoa; Chordata; Hyperoartia; Petromyzontiformes; Petromyzontidae.